ACCCAGCAAUUAUACCUAGGAAAAGAGGACUCGAACCCCCAUCUAAGACUCCAAAAAUCUUCGUAUGCCCAC
RNAcentral lists this transfer RNA (72 nucleotides) under Acanthosaura lepidogaster. RNAcentral describes it as "tRNA-Gln". The record is from RNAcentral. Lineage: Eukaryota; Metazoa; Chordata; Lepidosauria; Squamata; Agamidae.